CUCCCGAAAAGGCAAAGCUCGCAGAGCUACGCAAAGUCACGGGUUCGACACUGAACGUGCGAAUAGCCGGACCGCCGAA
RNAcentral lists this non-coding RNA (79 nucleotides) under Marinobacterium lacunae. Its description in RNAcentral is "Marinobacterium sp. AK27 c-di-GMP-I riboswitch aptamer". It matches the Rfam family "c-di-GMP-I riboswitch aptamer". Rfam says of the family: GEMM was predicted in a large-scale screen for bacterial structured RNA regulatory elements. Genes associated with GEMM are involved in a diverse array of functions, including chemotaxis regulation, signal transduction, secretion and chitin. Lineage: Bacteria; Pseudomonadati; Pseudomonadota; Gammaproteobacteria; Oceanospirillales; Oceanospirillaceae. The record is from Rfam by way of RNAcentral. RNAcentral also lists the same sequence under 1 other name.